GAUGAACGCUAGCGAUAGGCCUAACACAUGCAAGUCGAGGGGCAGCACAUGAGUAGCAAUACGAGUGGUGGCGACCGGCGCACGGGUGAGUAACACGUAUGCAACCUACCUCUAACGAGGGGAUAACCCGUUGAAAGACGGACUAAUACCCCAUAAUACAGGGGCUCCGCAUGGAGAUAUUUGGUUAAAGAUUUUAUCGGUUAGAGAUGGGCAUGCGUUCCAUUAGCUAGUUGGUGAGGUAACGGCUCACCAAGGCGACGAUGGAUAGGGGAACUGAGAGGUUUAUCCCCCACACUGGAACUGAGACACGGUCCAGACUCCUACGGGAGGCAGCAGUGAGGAAUAUUGGUCAAUGGAGGCAACUCUGAACCAGCCAAGUCGCGUGAAGGAUGAAGGUCUUAUGGAUUGUAAACUUCUUUUGCAGGGGAAUAAAUAGCGGUACGUGUACCGUUUUGCAUGUACCCUGCGAAUAAGGAUCGGCUAACUCCGUG
Molecule: ribosomal RNA, 491 nt
Filed under: uncultured bacterium
Lineage: Bacteria
Description: bacterial SSU rRNA
Rfam family: Bacterial small subunit ribosomal RNA
Source: RNAcentral